Molecule: non-coding RNA, 45 nt
Filed under: Schistosoma haematobium
Lineage: Eukaryota; Metazoa; Platyhelminthes; Trematoda; Strigeidida; Schistosomatidae
Source: RNAcentral
AUCCUGUUGACGAGUCCCAAACAGGACGAAACGCGCGUCCUGGAU